This is a long non-coding RNA of Arabidopsis thaliana (thale cress), 569 nucleotides long. RefSeq annotates it as other RNA. The transcript has a single exon. Lineage: Eukaryota; Viridiplantae; Streptophyta; Magnoliopsida; Brassicales; Brassicaceae. The record is from RefSeq.
UUGGACGUCCAAAAUAGUUGUGCUUGAAUCAAUAUACUUCUUGGCAGCAAUAGUGCAGGCAGGAAACUUGAGCAUAAAACUCCUCUCGAACUCCUUAACAUGAUAUCUAAUAUAUCGAUCAAGCGUAGUAACUUGCAUCAGUUUGUUAGGAUCAACUUUCCCAAGCCUUUCAAUAUACACAGGCCUGCCUUCUUUAUCUACACUGUGAUAACCGUGCGGGUAAUAUUUCAGAACUUCAUCAAUCUCUUCAAACUGAAAAUCCUGAAUAAUAGUGUCGGUACCAAAUUCCUUCCUCCACUGGAUCAUAUCAGCCCACAUGUGCUUAGCUUUCUCAAUGUCGAAUUUCCUAGCCUUCAAGAACCUCAACAUCAUAUGAUAGUCAUCGUGUUUAUGGGGAAGCAACUCCUCCAUUACCAAUGCUUGUCUAAACUCAUCAACCGCUUGAAGCUCCUCAACAUCACGAACAUCCUCAAUGGAGACAGAACUGACCCGGACAUCACUUUUUCUUCUCUUUUUCUUGAGAGAAUGCUUGAACUUGGUAGAUGCAUUGAUUGCUUUCUUCUUCAAAG